RNAcentral lists this long non-coding RNA (1277 nucleotides) under Brachypodium distachyon (stiff brome). RNAcentral's name for it is "long non-coding RNA (BDIS_LNC005918)". Lineage: Eukaryota; Viridiplantae; Streptophyta; Magnoliopsida; Poales; Poaceae. The record is from RNAcentral.
GGAUGCCCUUUUGGCGCGGCUUCAGCUAGCUUGUUAAGAUCACAAUCUACACAUGCGCAUUCCAUCGUCUCUCCUGAUCCAGCAGUCGAUCGGACCGACCUGCACACGCAUUUCACGUGCAUGCGCACCCAACAAACUCUAGCUCAUCUCGACCAAACGGAUCGAUCACUGCUAAGUUUCUUCUAGCUCACCAUGUAGUUAACUUAGGGGGUUAGAUUUCAGUUAGCUUCGACUUGGUGCGAAGCUUUCAACAGUCGACACGUAGGGUUACCAGGAUGUCCGGCUAUAUAUAUAUAUAUAGUCUGGCCGUGAACGAGACCGACGUGGAUGAUGGCGAUGCUGGAUAGAUGGAUGUCCGGAGCGAGCGCCGUUGCACCUGGAAUGGAGCACUGUUAGCCUUUAGGAAUACACAAAGAACCCAGAGCAAGUGGAUAUAAUAGAUGCCGAUCGAUGCUUUUGCUUCGAUGGCGAUACGGUUCUGGGGAUGUUUGUAUAUUUGGGUGGACCGUAUUGGGCAACUGGUGUGGUGUAUCUUUGGGGGAGAAGUGAAGCAAAAGGAGUAUACGCCAUGUGGUGCGUCAUCUCGCCCGGCAGCAUCCGACGUCGUCGUCUGAUCCAUCUCUCUUUCUAUUUAUUUAUUUUAUUUUUAUUUUUUUGUUUGCGAAGUUUGCACACUCAACGGAGCUUGCAGUACUGUACUCUGUUCUGCUGUCCAUAGAGAUCCCAAAGGCCCACAGACCGUUCCAUUGCAUUUAGUCGGUUUGUGGAUAAGUGUUGCUCCUACAUGACAAUCUACAGAACGUCCGUUACUUAUAAGUUCCCUACUUAUAAUUAAGGUCGUCAAAUUCUGAAGCACCAGGGCAGGCCAGGAAUUCAUUGAAGGCGUGUGUAUCUGCUAAAUCUGAAGAGAGCAGCAGCGCAUAGCAUAAUCAGAUAUCCCGGUAUAUGCCCACACAAGGAAGCUACCUUUUUUCAGAAACCAUUUGAUUUGCUGGUCUUAUCAUGGUCGGACUCUUGUUAGUCUUAUCAAAUCGCACCACAUCCGGGUCCAGCGAAAAAUGGACGUGGACCCGACACCUUUUAACGGGAAAAAAAUUGCAUGGGCGAUGGGUGCAGCGCGCGGCCCGUGCGACCCCCGCUAGAUUGAUGCCACGUGGAUGCUCAUUGCAUCGGACGGCAGGUCGAAUCGACUCGGCUCUGUGCUUUCCGUCGGCUCCGCAUCGCAGGAUGGAUCGGCUCCACAUUGACUCAGCUCGUCCAAGUCCAUGUUGAAUACG